GCGGGUGUCGCCAAGCGGUAAGGCCCAAGCUUCCCAAGCUUGUAUUCGCGGGUUCGAUUCCCGUCACCCGCUCCA
This 75-nucleotide transfer RNA is filed under the name Coriobacteriales bacterium. Its description in RNAcentral is "tRNA-Gly". It matches the Rfam family "tRNA". Rfam says of the family: Transfer RNA (tRNA) molecules are approximately 80 nucleotides in length. Their secondary structure includes four short double-helical elements and three loops (D, anti-codon, and T loops). Lineage: Bacteria; Bacillati; Actinomycetota; Coriobacteriia; Coriobacteriales. The record is from RNAcentral.